Leucoraja erinaceus (little skate) is the source of this 2421-nucleotide long non-coding RNA. RefSeq lists it as uncharacterized. The transcript has 3 exons. NCBI's taxonomy places the organism in Eukaryota, Metazoa, Chordata, Chondrichthyes, Rajiformes, Rajidae. The record is from RefSeq and is a predicted model, not a curated record.
GUACCCGCAUCAUCCAUCACUUCAGCCACCACAUGUCACAUUUUCUCAUUCUCAUCUCUUUCCACAGAGACUGCCUCCUCUGCAACUCCUUGAUUCAAUCGUCCCUUCUCACCCAAACCACCCCCUCUCCAGUUACUUUCCCCAGCAUGAGACAUAACACCUGUACCUGAUAUACCUCCUCCCUCGCUUCCAUCUAGGGACCCAGCAGUCCUCCCAGGUGAGACAGGUUGACGUGCACCUUCUCCAAACUCAUUUGCUGCAUCUGGUGUUCCCAAUGUUGCCUGUACAUCGGCGAGACCAGCUGUCGUAUCGCUAAACACUUGCACUCCGUCCAUCAAAGCCCACUAGAAUUCCCAGUUGCUAACCAUUUUAAUUCCCAUUCCGUUACUGACCUUUCUGUCCUGGGCCUCCUCCAUUGCCAAAGUGAAGCCACAUGCCCCUCAUCUAUUCCAGCUUUAUUUCCUCUUCGCCCCCACAUUCCACACACACACACACACACACACACACACACAAUCAGUAUGAAGAUUCCAAACUGGAAGCAUCACUUAUCCUGUUCUCCAGAGAUGCUAAGGUGCUGCUUGACCUGCUGAGCAACUCAAGCUCCAUGUCAUUUUCUGCUAGGCUCAUUGAUUCAUUGCAAAAGCAACAGUAAGCGAAUUAAAGAAAUUGGACUCUAAUUUGAUGUCACACUUCAAGCUAAUAGUAUGUCAUUUAUAUUUGUGUAAUUGCUGUAGCAACUUCAGAUGAGGUACAAGUGCAGAACAGCUUCAUCUUCUGGACACAAAGUGCUGGAGUAGGUCAGGCAGUGUCUGGAGAACAUGGAUAGGUGAUGUUUCAGGGCGAGACUGUUCUACCGACAUGAGAUGCUGCUUGACCCGCUGAGCUACUCCAGCAUUCUGUGUCCUUUUGUAUAUUAACAAGCAUUUGCAGUUCUUUGUUUCUACAUCUUGCUUCAUCUGUUGUCUGGCUCACUAUUGAAGUGUCAUGGUACUAAUUUAAAAUUUAAAUUUAUUCAUUCCAAAUUACACUUCUCAGUCUAUGUGUAAUGCUGUUAAGUUUCGGUUCUUUCAGUUUUGGUCAUUAGUUUUUGUGCAGAUACUGGAAAUCUGAAAUUAAGAACAGAAAAUGUUGGAAACAUUCAGCAGUUGAGGCAGCAUCUGUGAAAGGAGAAAUAGAUAAUGUUUAAGGUCCAGGACUCAUCACCUGAUGAUUGGUCCCAGACCUGAAACAUGAACUCUCUCUUGGGUACACAAAAAUGCUGGAGAAACUCAGCAGUCUCCAGACUGAAGAAGGGUUUCGGCCCGAAACGUUGCCUAUUUCCUUCGCUCCAUAGAUGCUGCUGCACCCGCUGAGUUUCUCCAGCAUUUGUGUACCAUUAACUCUCUGUUAAUUGGAUUAGUUAUUUGCCCCGGUUACUAAGACCUUGAAUUUAUUUGCUGUUCUAUUGUCGGCUUGUUUUCAGCGGCUUGCAGUGGAGAAAAUAUGAUUAAAGAGUCACCCUCCCGCAGCAAAUUAUGCAUCGAUCAUUUUGCUAUGCAAGAUUAGUAUCUACAUUAACAAACAGGGCUCAGGCAGUGAUGAAGGUGGAUUUUCUACAAUUUAUAUUUGGCCUUAAUCCACUGGGUGGUGCCGUCAGCGAUGGCAGCCUCGCCAACGAUGUGGGGAGAAAACCGGAAAACCCUGAGGAAAUCCAUAUGAUCACAGGGAGAACUUGCAGACAUCACCCGAGGUCAGGAUGGAAACUGGGACCUCAGGAGUUGUGAGGUUGUGGUAUUACCAGCUGCAUCUCUGUGCCAGUCCUAAUUUAUUGAACAAUUUAAUCAUAAAUCUUACAUCCUGAUCAGUUAUAGUGUCAAGGUAAAAAUUAUGCAUAUUGUGUUAAAUGUCUGGCAUCAAACAGAGUUUCUAUACAAGCCAAAGAUAGACACAAAAUGCUGGACUACUCAACAGGACAGGCAGCAUCUCUGGAGAGAAGGACUGGGUGAUGUUUCGGGUUGAUACCUUUCUUCAAACUUUAAGAGCCAACUGUCCUUCAUUUACUCAAAACAGCAGAAUUGUAAUCAUUACUGCUCAGGCUUAGAGACUGCAAAAUGUGUCCAGGAAUGUGUUUUCCUCUUUGAAAAAAUAAUUGAAAGCUUACUGGAGAGGAGUUCUGCUACCUAUUUAUAAGUUACAUUGUUUUCUAUUUGAGUAAGGUUCAAACACGUAUCAUAGAGGCACAAAUGAUUGUUGUUGCUGGGAUCUUCUUCUUGCGUAUGGCAUGCACAGCCUAAAGUUGUAAGACAACUUGGUCUGUUUGAUCUUCUGUUUGUGCAUGCCAGGUUGAUUGCAUUCAUCGCAACAGGGUGGACCACGUGAAGAAUCUGGGAUCUUAAGGCAAACACAAAGUGCCGGAGGAACUCAGCAGGUCAGGCAGCAUUU